Molecule: ribosomal RNA, 524 nt
Filed under: uncultured bacterium
Lineage: Bacteria
Description: bacterial SSU rRNA
Rfam family: Bacterial small subunit ribosomal RNA
Source: RNAcentral
UGCGUCCGCUGUGAAUCCGAGGCCUACCCCGAGCUUGCAGUGAUACGAGCUGCUGAAGCAGCAGGAGAGAACGGAAUCCCCGGUGUAGCGUGAAAUGCGCAGAUAUCGGGAGGAACACCGGUGGCCGAAGACGGUUCUCUGAGCCUGUACUGACGCUGAGGAGCGAAAGCGUGGAGAGCGAACAGGAUUAGAUACCCUGAGUAGUCACGCCGUAAACGUUGGGCGCUAGAUGUAGGUCCCUUCCACGGGAUCUGUGCCGCAGCUAACGCAUUAAGCGCCCCGCCUGGGGAGUACGGCCGCAAGGCUAAAACUCAAAGAAAUUGACGGGGGCCCGCACAAGCGGCGGAGCAUGUUGCUUAAUUCGACGCAACGCGAAGAACCUUACCAAGGUUUGACAUGGACGGAAAUCCUCCAGAGAUGGGGGGUCCUUCGGGGCCGUUCACAGGUGGUGCAUGGCUGUCGUCAGCUCGUGUCGUGAGAUGUUGGGUUAAGUCCCGCAACGAGCGCAACCCUCGUCCAAUGUU